CUCACGACGUAAAGCCUCAGCGCCCCUUCUCCUUCCACGGUACUCUGACGGGUGCAUGGGGUCGGUCAGCUAGGUCUCUGGUGCGCUCGGAUGGCAGUGGGAAGCUCAUUGACAUCUUGGCCAAACACUUCAUAAUCGUUGCUCUCUGUCAGAAAAAAGUUUCUUGGAAACCUGAACAUGAAGAGAAGAUAAAAAAGAUAUUUUACACAAAAGCAUCUCAUAGGCUUUCUGAAAUGUUCAAGGAAGCUCGUAAAAUAAACAAGAAGCUUGAUUGGAUGUUUGAUACAGUUUGGCAAAGUUUGAUUACCAGCGGAUGGCCCCAAAAUUUAAAACAAAGAGUAUCCAAGCUCAAAAAAAUAGAGCAUUUGAGAAAGGUGGAAGUCUGCACACAGGUGGCUCCAUCACCCCUCACGAGCAUGCUAUCCAGAUGGUAAUUACAUUAAACAACUACUAUAUUUUAUUCAACAUAAUUUUAGAAAUAUGAUGAUUAACUAUUUAUACAAUUAUAGUCACAAGAGUUGGGUCGCCUUCCACAUAUUGAUGAGUUGUUCCACCAAACUCAUGUACGAAAGCUUACAGGUGAUUUUGUCGACCAAAGAUCUAAGCAAACAUAUGUAAAUUAUUUUUUUUUUGUAUUAUUGCUUUAUUCUUUUCAAUUUUAAUCAUCUUUGAUAAAUGUCAUUUUUAAACAUCUUUAUUUACGAAAUAUGAUCAAUUUGAGACUAUUUAAUCAAGCUAGGUCUGAGGUUGCAUCUUGUACAGAAGGUUUUGAAACGUCUUCUAUGGACCUAGUUGAGGAAGAAAGACUCCACAAUGAGAGUUGGAUUGUUGUUGUUGAUGGGAUUACAAACAAAAGAUGACUAAACGGGGUUGGAAAAGUCACUUCUACAUUGAGAUUUGGGGAUACCUUCACAAAUAUAUCUUCUAGUUGUGCUACUUAAGAGUCAAAGAAAAUUAUAAUUCAAGAAAAAUCAACAUUAUCUACAGAAGAAAUCCGUAGAUAAGCAUGAAAAUUCGUAGAUAAGUGUUAAUUAUCUACAGAUUAUCUAUAGAAAAAAAUCUGUAGGUAAUAAAGUCGUAGAUAACAGUACUUGCGAAAAAUUUUCCAUACCGAAAAUUUUCCGUAGGUAACCUUAUAUACGGACAUUCAUACGGAUUACCCACAAAAGUUGUUAUAUACGAAUAAGUUUUAAAAGACUUACCUACAGAAUUUAUCUACGGGUUAUCUACGAAAAUUUUUAUAAUCUAAUAGUCAUCUCCAUAAUGUCUAGUAGGUGGUAGUUGUUGGGCAUCGUGGUUGUCAUGAGAUUGUUGAUCUACCUGUUGUUGCAAAAUAUGUUGUGUAUCAGAAGGUAAGAGAGGUAGAACAACAAUGAACAAGGAUUGAAACUGGCAUUGCAAGCAUUCAUUUUGUUCCCUAGAUUGACGAGCCUCCUCCCUAGACUUAUAUAUGGACUUGCUCUUGCAAUUGAAUAAUUUUCUCUGACUCUUCAGAAGCACGACCAAAAGAUAUAUUUGUGAAGGUAUCCCCCAAUGUUAAUGGAGAAUUGACUUUUCCAACCCCGUAAAGUCGUCUUUUGUCUGUAAUCCCACCAGCAGCAACAAUCCAACCCUUAUUGUAGAGUCUUUCUUCCUUAACUGAGUCCAUAAGAGACGUUUCAAAACCUCCCGUACAAGAUGUAGCCUCAGACCUAGUUUGAUUAAAUAUAGUCUCAAAUUGAUCCUAUUUCAUAAAUAAAGAUGCUUAGAAGUGACAUUUAUCAAAGAUGAUUAAAAUUGAAAAGAAUAAAGCAAUAAUACAAAAAAAAAAUAACUCACAUAUGUUCGCUUAGAUCUUUGGUCGACAAAAUCACCUGUAAGC
Molecule: long non-coding RNA, 1861 nt
Organism: Cajanus cajan (pigeon pea)
Lineage: Eukaryota; Viridiplantae; Streptophyta; Magnoliopsida; Fabales; Fabaceae
Source: RefSeq, a predicted model, not a curated record